Molecule: transfer RNA, 76 nt
Filed under: Dethiobacter sp.
Lineage: Bacteria; Bacillati; Bacillota; Dethiobacteria; Dethiobacterales; Dethiobacteraceae
Description: tRNA-Val
Rfam family: tRNA
About the family: Transfer RNA (tRNA) molecules are approximately 80 nucleotides in length. Their secondary structure includes four short double-helical elements and three loops (D, anti-codon, and T loops).
Source: RNAcentral
GGGCGAUUAGCUCAGCUGGGAGAGCGCCUGCCUUACAAGCAGGAUGUCGGCGGUUCGAACCCGUCAUCGCCCACCA